GCUGCCGACGUCGCUGCGGACAAAGCCGAUAAGCGGCUUAACAUCCGCGCGGGGGCCUGGACAAAAAUUGGACGUGGAAUAGACACAGGGAGAGAUGUCUCCCCCUCAUCCUGGACAUGCUCCACAGCCCUAAUCCCAGGCGCUUUGUCCGGUGUCUGGAGGCCACAGAAGGAAGAAGGAGGAAGGACCGAAGGGAAGCGUAGCACAUGCACCCAUGCACCUUAAGGAGGCACAGACGUGUCUCCUCCCUUAUGGCUGCUCCUUCUGGGGCUAAGGGUUAAGGCAGAUUGAUGGGCACGAGGAGUGGAAACCAUGUCGCCACAUGCCACCUGCUACCAGCCACAUGCGCCACAUGGCUGAGUCUGACAUUUUUGGGGCUCAGGGCGGGUUAAGUGCGUGCUGGCCAACAAGUGGACGACAACGACGACGACGACACUCUGGCGGACAGAUCGCUUGAGGAAAUUAAACGAAAACCCGGCUGCUACAAAGGAGUGCCGCUCCUGCACCCCCCUCUGGCGUAGUCCCCGCUGACAGCCAACACCCAACAGCCGCGUGUGCGACAUGAGAGGGGAGUGUGUGCCCCCUGAGAGGAGAGGUUUAAUCCCCCACCUUUAGGAUGUGUAUGUGUGUCGUCGGACUGUCACUUUGUGUCUCUCUCUCUCCCUCUCUCUCUCUCUCUCUCGCUCUGUGUUAAGUGUUUCGCGUUCGCGAGUGAAAUGAAAAUCCAAGAGCGGAAAAUGCCCCGCAAAACGAGACAGAAUUUAUACGGAGGAAAAACACAAAACAGAAUGUGCGCCAAAGGAUUGGAAAUGCAAAUGGAAAUGUGUGAAAUAUACUGAUAAUAUUUGGGAUCCAGAGACAGAGACCAGUUCCAGUUCCAGAGCCUGCUUCUAUGGGCGUAACCUUCCCACGAAACCGCAGACGCGGCAGAUACUCUGCUGCAGAAUGAUGGGGUAAGUAAUCAUUGAAUUU
This is a long non-coding RNA of Drosophila miranda, 972 nucleotides long. RefSeq lists it as uncharacterized. The record is from RefSeq and is a predicted model, not a curated record. Lineage: Eukaryota; Metazoa; Arthropoda; Insecta; Diptera; Drosophilidae. The transcript has 3 exons.